AUUUUGUUGGCGGAAUAUGAAAGUUCAUCAGCAAGCCCGCACACAGGGAAGCAUAUUGAAAUGAGCAUUACAGAUCUGUCAGGCUGGAGUUUAUGGCCUUUUCUCAGUACUACCCUUGGAGUGCAGCUGUGGGUCACCUGGCUAAUGCGGGGGCCAUUCCACAUUCCAGAGGCAUGGAGCCGUGGUCAUUUGGCAUUCCAGAGGCAUUCCGAAGCUGCAGGUCAUUCAUUAUGCCAAGGUAGACUGGACACUUCUCAGGCCGUCCCAGACGCAGUCAUGAUGGUGGCAGGAUGGCGGUACAAUUCCCAGCCUUGAGUCUCUGUAAGUUAGACUCCAACAGGACAGGUGGUUGAAGCCAGAUAAGGAAGAACCUUGAUUUUCAUGCUAGAAGUAUGAACUUUAUUCUGCAAAGGAGUGAUGAGAAAAAGGAAAAAAAAAAUGUGUGAUUUGCUUUACUUUUUAUUGGUUUUGUUCCUACAGGUGAAUGACAUAAUCUAUCCUUAUAGAUCUUCCGAUUGAAUUGCCAAAUAUUGGAGCAGAAUAUACGUGUGUAGCAUCUCAAGAUCAUCAACGGAGGUCAAGUUUGUGAUGUAUGAAUUUUUGGGAAAGGGGGCAAACCAGACUCAAGGUUGGGGCAGGGUGGCAAUGGGAGUGGAAGGGGGCACUGCCAUGACUACACACAACUUCUGUGUCCUGCUUUACUGUUGGAAGCCAGGACCUAGGGAGGUGCUACCCACAGCAGAGCCCUAACUGUGCCUGAGCUCGUAAGCUUGGAUGGGAAGAGGAGGUUUCUGUGUGCACCUGGGGUGGCCGUGGAGGCUGCAAAGCCUGCUUCAGAGGGUCGUCGAGGAUGGCCUACGAAUGCACUAGGGUGCUUGUUAAAAGUGGAUUCUAUAAUCCUCUCCAGGAACGGAUCUCCUUGGAGCAGUUCCCCAUGGCCUUUAAGAAAUAAAGGUCAAAGUUUCUAUCA
RNAcentral lists this long non-coding RNA (970 nucleotides) under Vulpes vulpes (red fox). RNAcentral's name for it is "lncRNA (ENSVVUG00000011675.1)". The record is from RNAcentral. Lineage: Eukaryota; Metazoa; Chordata; Mammalia; Carnivora; Canidae.